This is a long non-coding RNA of Aethalodelphis obliquidens (Pacific white-sided dolphin), 5572 nucleotides long. RefSeq lists it as uncharacterized. The transcript has 2 exons. NCBI's taxonomy places the organism in Eukaryota, Metazoa, Chordata, Mammalia, Artiodactyla, Delphinidae. The record is from RefSeq and is a predicted model, not a curated record.
UUAGUUGCUCCGCAGCAUGUGGGAUCUUAGCGGCCCAGGUCCCCUGCAUUGGCAGGCGGAUUCUUAACCACUGUGCCACCAGGGAAUUCCCGAAAACUGAUGUAUUUUUUGAAAUGUCCUGCUAAAACAGCUCUUUUCUGAGAAUUUUCUUUUAAGAAUUUUGCAAUUUAGAAUUCCUCUGUUAUCAUCUGGGCUUUCUCUUUUACUCUGGCGGCCGCAGCUCAAGUGUUGGAGACCAACGACAUCGAAAUUAUCUCAGUAGUCUAAAGAGUACAGUAGGAAUUAAAAGCAUAAAUGACCAACAUCAGAAUCUUUCCAGGGACUUCCCUGGUGGUCCAGUGGGUAAGACUCCUUGCUCCCAAUGCAGGGGGCCCAGGUUCGAACCCUGGGCUGGGAACCAGAUCCCGCAUGCAUACUGCAACUAAGACCCGGCACAGCCAAAAUAAAUAAAUAAUAAAAUAGAUUAAAUACAUUUUAAAAAACUGCAAAAAGACUAACAAGACUUGAUCUAUUUAAAAAAAGAAUCCAGAUUUGGCAGAGACAAUUUGAGAACGGGAGAUUCCAAUCCCUAGGGCAAGGGACAAAAAUGCAAAAAUAAAAAGAUAGGACAGGGCAACAGAUGGCAAAUCCCUAUGGCUUCCCACUUUUGCCUACCAUAGGCUGAAAAAAAAUUUUUUUUCAGAGAUGGUUUAGAAGUUGUGGUGUUUUAUUUUUAGGUAACAGUGAGAAAUUGCCUCAAAGUGUACGUGCCAACAUCGCUUUCCUGGUUCUAUGGUACUUCCUGAGAGAAGAACUUCAUUUCUACGGGAGUUGGUGAUUGAGGUGAAUCCUGUAAUAAAAGUAGGUUCACAGGGUACAUCCCCAGGGGUGAUUGACUGUGAUAUGACCAGGAGCUCCUGAGCUUUCAACGCUUCCCUUGAAAUUUGCUUCCACACGCAGACAGCGGCACAGGUGGGUGUGGGUCUGGGCCUUCUCCCAAGAGGAGGGAGCACUGAACACUUCAGCUUACGUAUCUCCUUGGGGCUCCUUAGUCGGCGGGGGGAGGGGAGGUGGGGAAGCUGCUGCUGUGAAGUACUCCCUUUGUGGGGAGACCUGGAGUAGUCAGAACUUGGGGUGUCAAGGGAAACCUGGCUGACACACCACAGUAGAUCCCCAGGUUCCCAGGUACAGAGGCCUCUCCAUAUCCCUCUGAUGUCUUGGACUGGGCAGAGGGUGCAAGGACAGGGCGUCCCAGAGCUGUGCUUCCCAACAGGGGAAGAGCCGGGUGGACGGUCUCUGUCUAGGAAUGAUGGGCACUGGCAGAAGCUGGACACGUGCCACCGUGCUGACAGGGGGUCUUAUUCCAUCUGGUGCUCCAAAAACAUUGGAAGGCCACAAAGCUAGCAAGUGCGCUGCCUUCCUGUCGUAAGUAUUCUCUGGUCGCUCUUUUAGUGUUUGAAUUGGCUGUAAGUAGAAGGACAGAGAGAUCAAGUUAGAGAAAGCACUUCCUGGCUGGAGUAUACAGGCGGCGCCAGGCUAAUUGACAGUUUUGGCCUAAAAGAACCUUUUUUUUUUUUUUUUUUUUUUUUGAGGGAGCAGUGCACAUAUGACUUCUGUAGGAGAUAAAGGGAGCAUCUGAGGCUGGGGUGACAUGCAAUAGGUAAGUGUGGUUGAAGUUGGGCUAAACUGGGAAACUGGUUUGGCUUUUGCCUGAUUCGCCUACAUUUUGAAUGCCAUCUGUCCUCUGAGAUACAAAACUUAGAGAAUGGGGAAGCAAUUCCUGGGGACAGGUCCAUGUCAGUGUCCCCAAGUAGAAAGGUCCUAAAGCAUCCUUAGAUCGCUGCUGUACCCUGGUCACUGCCACCCACCACCAGAGUCAUUUGCAUGCUGGUGCUUUGACUAAACAGUUAAGAUGGGCUAGAUAUUUUCUGUCCUUUCAUUUUUCUCCCCUUUAUUACCAGUGUGUCACAAUGGUAGGACAUCUUCCACAAAGAAGUCUUUUUGGCACAAGUGAGCGAUAUUCCACAAACCCCAUGACUCAUCAGUGUCCUUUCAUUUGGUCUAAUAUCUUUAUAUCCUUCUUGUCUCCAUGGACCUAUUUUUCAUCACCAGUUUCCCAUUAGAGUAGUAAAGUCCCAUGAACAAAAACUAUAAAUAGGUCAAAGCUUUUCUUGAGCCCAAGUUCUGUUGGUCUUGCUAAGGGAGCCACAGAGCUUUUUAGGCAAGAGUUAGAGCCUACAAACACCCUAGUCAUUAUGUCCUAAAUGAUUAAAUUUUUGGUUGGUGUCGUUGUUAUUUUAGGAUUUCCUUCAGGAUGAUAUUAGAAUUGAAAUGGUUAGUUUCAGCUUUAUGUCUUCUAAACUUAGCCCAGGACCGAAUUUUUCUGGUAUGACAGAAGAAUAUUACAUGAAAAAAAAAAAAAAAAAUCUGUUCUCGCUGAAUCCGAAACAUUUCUAUUUGGGUUCAGUACACAAGAGGUUUGAAAAAUUCAGACCCACUCUUAUUUUACCAGUCCCUCAAAUAUUACCAGAGUGCUAAGUUUCAACAAUUCAAGUAUGGACUUCUCUUGUCAAUCAUCUAAAACAAAAGUUCCUAACCUGGGAGAAAUUCUGCCCUCCAGGGGACACUUGACAAUGUCUGGAGACAUUGUUUGCUAUCACAUAUGGAGGAUAGGGGGGCUAUUGGCAUCUAGAGGGGACAGGUCAGGGAUGCUGUAAACAUCCUGCAAUGCACAGGGCAACUCGGCAACAAAGAAUUAUCCAGCCCCAAAAGUCAAUAGUGCCGCUAUUGAGAAACCCUGAUCCAAAGUAACAAUUCUUUUAGGAAACAUAAAUGCUAUUAUUGACUUACCAGCAUCUGAACUAUAUAGUAGCUUUUUCUGUACCCAGGACUGCUGUCACUGCUCUCUUCUGGCAAACCAAGCACCCCUUUCUAUAAACAGAAAAAUGAAGUUGUCUUAGAACCCCUUUUUUCUUUUGGUCUGUUGCUUCCUUUCCAAAUGGGUACCUAUUACUCAAAAUGUGGAGAAGAGCUACUCAAAGUACAUAUACUAAGUGUGUGGCUCUGGCAAGAUACACAAUGUCUUGGAUAAAAUGGGAAACGUGCAAACAGACUCAGGGCAAGUCAAGGGCCAGAAGCGGUCUCUGUCCCCAUCCCUCCUUCUCACCGGAACCCUGGCCUCACAUACUUUCUUGCCUUGUGUCUCUGUGUCUCUGCUCUGCAGCCAGAACCAACCUUGGCCUUCUCAUCCCAGCUUCCUCCUCUGCUGGGACCUCAGAGACGGUGCAAGUUGGUCUACGAGCCCAUGUGCAAAAUUACCCCUGACACCACCCCACGCCCCCUCAGCCAGACCCCAGGAGCAAGCCAGGUUUCAACUUUGACUUUUAUCUCCUCCCCCCAAAAACACACACCUUUUCAGCUAUGUGUGUAUGUUGGCUAAAAUUCCCUUUUUUUUUUCCUAUCUUCAGAGGAUUUCCACUUAAAUGUUCACAUUAGGCCCUUUGUGACAUCCUGUAAUGUUCCAAAAUAUGUUUAGUCCCUUGGAUGAAUUAAGUGAAUAAUAAUGCCAAAAGUAUCUCAUGAAAAAAAAUGUAUAAAUAGAAAGCAUCGCUCUGAAUAUAAAAUUAUCAGAAUCAGUGGUUAAAACAGUAUGCUCUCACUUCUGAUACCAGCCCUAUGAAGAAGGCAUACAGGAAGCGCAGAUGUCCUUUGGUCCUGAAGCCAUAACUGGGCUGCUAUGAACUAAGUGUUUGUGUCCCCCUACAAUUCAUAUACUGAAACCCUAAUUCCCCAUGUGAUAGUUUGGAGGUGGGGCCUUUGGAACGUAAUUAGGUUGUGAGGUUGGAGUCCUCAUGACUGGGCUUGGUGCUUUUAUAAGACAAGACACCAGAGAGCUUGCUUCCUCUCUCUCUGCCAUGUGCGGAUGCAAGAUGGUCGUCUGCAAAUCAAAAAGAGAGGCUUCACCAGGAGUGGAUUGGCCGGCACCUUGAUCUUGGACUUCUCAGCCUCCAGAACUGGGGGAAAUCAGUUCUUAUUGUUUGAAUCACCCAGUCUGUGAUAUUUUGUACAGCAGCCCAAGCAGACUAAAACAUGGACUCAGCAGGAAAGAGCGCCAAGAUCAAUUAGCAAUGUCCAUCCUGAUUAAGCUAAAUGGGCAGUGAUGUUAUGUAUGCUUAUAUUUCCCAUUAAUUCUAGAUAUAUAGUAGACAUAUAUUUCUAUCUACCUUUUUGGAAAGAACAAGAAUUCUUUCUUUUUGGGGGAAUCAUUCUUGUAUCCCCAUACCAUUGGUCAAGAAAUAUAUGUUGAAUAAAUCACUUGUACAAAUUCUAAAAUUCACACAUGACCCUGUAUUUUACUCUAUCUCCCACAGAACGGGUGAGAACCAGGGACAAUAUUGCCGAGUCUAGAUGCCUAUGCUGGGUGACCAGCCAGACUGACUUGCUAGGUUAGUCAUUUGUUCCCAUAAAUCAGUCAAUAGCAACACACAAUUCAAGUUUCCACAAAAUGACAAGUUAUAUGUUACAGACUUCUAGGUUGCUCGUGAAUAAUGGGGACUGUGAUGACAAAGCCCAAACUUUCACUCUGAGGUACCCCACCAGCAAAAGAGUGUAUGCCAUUCUUCUAGAGGCCUAGUAGGAAAGCCAUUGCCUACUGAAAUAUAUGCUGGAGUCUCCCAUUUCAUCUUAAAUAUUUACGUGAACUUUGAACUCUAUGCCACAAUAUGCUUAUUAUACUACUAACAUGUUUUAAAUCACCAGUUAAAUUUUUCUCAAAAAAAAAAAAUCUUCCAGGAAACUAGUGGGAUCUAGUUCCCUGACCAGGGAUUGAACCCAGGCUCCCUGCAUUGGGAGCGCAGUCUUAACUCACCGCACCACCAGGGAAGUCCCUAUAAUAAUGUUCCAGUCUUCGAAGAGGUAUCAUGUUGAGCUCAUGGCUUGGCCCACCUCUGACCUGCCACCAGGUCCUCUGAAGGAGCACAUUGUGAUAGAUGAGAAGGGCGGGUGUGAUACAUGACAUGCCCUAAAUGGACUUUGGUAGGUGUGGCAGGUCAAACCGUGUUCCCUAGAAAGACCUGUACCAGUUCUAACCCUCAGUACUGUGACUGUGACCUUCUUUGGAAAUAGGGCCUUUGCAGAUAUGAUUGAGGAUCUCCAGAUGAGUUCAUCCUGGAUUUAACCCAAUAAGAGAGUUUUAACACACAGAGAAACAGGGGAGAAGGCCUUGCGAGGAUGGAGGCAAAGACUGGAAUUAUGCUGCCACCAGCCAAGGAACUUCAAGAGCCAAAAGAAGCUGGAGAAGGCAAGGAAGGGUUCUCCCUGAAAGCCUUUGGAGAACACAUGGCCCUGCUGACACCGUGACUUCUGACUUCUAGACUCUGAGAAUAAACUUCUAUCGUUUUAAGUCACCAGGUAAAUCUAGAUACCCUGGAAGGGGAAGAAGUGGGAACACACCAGUGACUACUCACCAUCUGAGAUGUGGGAACUCCAUGGAGAAAGACCAGAAGACUCACACGCUGCGCCAUGCUGAGGUGCUGAAAGCACAAGUGAAACUUUUUUAUUUCUAUAAAUAAACAUGUGCGUGCGUAUACAUAGA